CACCAGGCCGGGGUCCCAUAGCAACAGCAGCCGCCGGAGCUCAUCCCGCCUCCCCCAUGUCGUCUGCCAGCUCAGGGCGGCACAUACGCCUGUGACUCUCAUCCAGGUCCCCACCCCACUGGACAUCCGGCCCGCCUAAGCCCAGCCUCUACUAUAGGAAUCCUGGGUCGGCUGACACCGUGCCCCAGGGCAGCCGCUGUGUUCCAUUUUGCAGGUUGUGGAGUCACCAAGGGGUGGAACUGGGAUGUGAACUCAGGAAAUUUGACCCGCAGCCUCUGCUUCGCUGUCCGCAUGGGGUUGCCCACGAUCCUCAUGCAGCCCUCUCUCCACGGCCUCUGUCCAGUCCCUUCUUUGGAGUACUCCAUUUCAGAUUCUUCUAGACCUCUCUGGCCAGCGAGGAGAGAGCCGGCAGUGUCAUCCAGGUGAAGAGAAAGCCUUCACUGCCACCUGCUGGACACACAGUAGGAGCAUUUCCAGUGGACCCUGCAUCCCCAGAGAAGGAAACACCUUCUUUCCAGGCCAGGCCACAGAGAUGGAACUUUUGCUGAGACGCCUGGGCAAGAGACAGCCUCUGUCCAGUGGGAUGAAAUGGGAUCAAAGGCUCUCAGGAAGCCAUUUUUCUCCCUCAUGGAGUAAGCCACAUGCACAGGAAGCCCUCACAAUGGAAGCGUAUCCAGGGGACGGAGAGAUGCAGAAUCCUAAUGACAGCACUUGAACCCCUGGAUCCAGCUAUACCUGAACCCAUGUAACACUUCUCAUUAACAUGAGCCAAUAAAUCCCCCAUUAUGCUUAAGCCCA
Molecule: long non-coding RNA, 798 nt
Organism: Equus quagga
Lineage: Eukaryota; Metazoa; Chordata; Mammalia; Perissodactyla; Equidae
Exons: 4
Source: RefSeq, a predicted model, not a curated record